RNAcentral lists this ribosomal RNA (601 nucleotides) under uncultured bacterium. RNAcentral's name for it is "bacterial SSU rRNA". It matches the Rfam family "Bacterial small subunit ribosomal RNA", at positions 817 to 1419 of the family's 1533-position model. The record is from RNAcentral.
UAGUUGUCGGGUUUUAAUUAACUUGGUAACGCAGCUAACGCGUGAAGUAGACCGCCUGGGGAGUACGGUCGCAAGAUUAAAACUCAAAGGAAUUGACGGGGACCCGCACAAGCGGUGGAUGAUGUGGAUUAAUUCGAUGCAACGCGAAAAACCUUACCUACCCUUGACAUGUACGGAAGGCCGAAGAGAUUUGGCUGUGCUCGAAAGAGAACCGUAACACAGGUGCUGCAUGGCUGUCGUCAGCUCGUGUCGUGAGAUGUUGGGUUAAGUCCCGCAACGAGCGCAACCCUUGUCAUUAGUUGCUACAUUUAGUUGAGCACUCUAAUGAGACUGCCGGUGACAAACCGGAGGAAGGUGGGGAUGACGUCAAGUCCUCAUGGCCCUUAUGGGUAGGGCUUCACACGUCAUACAAUGGUACAUACAGAGGGCCGCCAACCCGCGAGGGGGAGCUAAUCCCAGAAAGUGUAUCGUAGUCCGGAUCGCAGUCUGCAACUCGACUGCGUGAAGUUGGAAUCGCUAGUAAUCGCGGAUCAGCAUGUCGCGGUGAAUACGUUCCCGGGUCUUGUACACACCGCCCGUCACACCAUGGGAGCGGGUUUUA